CUACGGGGCGCUCCAGUGAGGAAUAUUGCACAAUGGGGGGAACCCUGAUGCAGCAACGCCGCGUGGAGGAUGACGCAUUUCGGUGUGUAAACUCCUUUUAUAUGUCAAGAAAAUGACGGUAGCAUAUGAAUAAGCACCGGCUAACUCCGUGCCAGCAGCCGCGGUGAUACGGGAGGGUGCAAGCGUUACUCGGACUCACUGGGCGUAAAGGACGCGUAGGCGGGUUGGAAAGUCAGGUGUGAAAUCCUACAGCUUAACUGUAGAACUGCACUUGAAACUUCUAAUCUAGAGUAUGGGAGGGGGAGAUGGAAUUAGUGGUGUAGGGGUAAAAUCCGUAGAUAUCACUAGGAAUACCUAAAGCGAAGGCGAUCUCCUGGAACAUUACUGACGCUAAGGCGUGAAAGCGUGGGGAGCAAACAGGAUUAGAUACCCGAGUAGUC
Molecule: ribosomal RNA, 440 nt
Filed under: uncultured bacterium
Lineage: Bacteria
Description: partial 16S ribosomal RNA
Rfam family: Bacterial small subunit ribosomal RNA
Source: RNAcentral